Molecule: transfer RNA, 86 nt
Filed under: Rhizoctonia solani
Lineage: Eukaryota; Fungi; Basidiomycota; Agaricomycetes; Cantharellales; Ceratobasidiaceae
Rfam family: tRNA
About the family: Transfer RNA (tRNA) molecules are approximately 80 nucleotides in length. Their secondary structure includes four short double-helical elements and three loops (D, anti-codon, and T loops).
Source: Rfam by way of RNAcentral
GACCUCUUAGCUCAGUGGUAGAGCGUGAGAUUCCAGUUCUGGUUGGAAGCUCCUCAAGGUCAUCCGUUCAACUCGGGUAGGGGUCA